This 335-nucleotide unclassified non-coding RNA is filed under the name Rhodococcus (subgen. Prescottella) equi. RNAcentral describes it as "Rhodococcus hoagii 16S-23S ribosomal RNA intergenic spacer region". Lineage: Bacteria; Bacillati; Actinomycetota; Actinomycetes; Mycobacteriales; Nocardiaceae. The record is from RNAcentral.
AAGGAGCAUCUCCCCACACACCCCGAAGAGUCGGGGAGCGUGUGAGGGCAGAGCCAUUUCGGAUUCACAUGUAAUCCGGUGGUGCUCAUGGGUGGAACACUGACAAGUAUUCUUCUUCACUACUGCCGGCCCGAGUGCUGGUGGGAAGAGAGUUAUAUCGGCAUACUGUUGGGUCCUGAGAGAACACGUGAGUGAUCUUUCAAGGAAGAAACGACGAGCGGGAAACGCAGGUCAUACCGCAGCGGGAACUUCGGUUCUGGUUGGUCCGGUGUCUGCACGGGUUUUCUGUUUGUGUGUUGUUUGAGAACUGCACAGUGGACGCGAGCAUCUUUGUU